Molecule: long non-coding RNA, 2172 nt
Organism: Cotesia glomerata
Lineage: Eukaryota; Metazoa; Arthropoda; Insecta; Hymenoptera; Braconidae
Exons: 2
Source: RefSeq, a predicted model, not a curated record
AACGGAGAAGAAAGUGAUAAAUUUUUAUUAAUAAUUGUCGGAGUCAUUUUUAAAUUUAUAAAUUUAAAGAACACAUUGUCCGAUUUAAUGAGUUUAAAAUCGGGAAGUUCUAGAAGGCUUACAAAAGACGUAUAAUAUUAAUAUUAAUAUUGUUUUUUUAAAAUCAGUAAGUGUAAUUACUAAUUAGGGUUUAGUGGUCCGAUUGUAUGAUGCCUGAGAGUAUGAUUGGUGAUUGACGAUUGAGGUCCAAUUAAAAAACCGCGGGACAGCGGCGACGUCGCUGGUGUACGACGCGAUCUAGGUCUCCACGGUUAAUUUACCCUCUCUUAUUUUAUCCUUAAAUAUUUUAGACUCUACCGACAGUCGUACUGAGAUAUUUUUUUUCAGAGAGUACCGACACUGAGAGACUAAACGGCCCGAGAAACACCCAAAGCUGUCUUUAAUCUCUUUUUACCUUUUUUUUUUAUUUCGUUUUAUUAGUUUUUAAAUCCUUUUACUCGCACAAGAUUUAACUGGCCGCAAGACUCUCUUCUUCCAGUUAUUUUAUCCUUGUGAUAGACAAUUAUAGAUUUAUAUUGUCAAUAUAUUUAUUAUUUUAUUAAACAAACAAAUUUAUUCGAUUAAAUCGAGGUGUUUAUUAUUUUUAAAAUUAUUUUUAUUGAUUUAGGUCCCCUGGGAGGGAGAUUAAGAUUUAUUUAAACAAUACUCGGAAUUAUUUUUUAUAUAAAUAGAGAAUUAAAGACAGCCGUGGGUGAGAUCGAGGCACGUCCGGAUGCUUACCGGAGCUCUUCCAUAGCAACCAUUCUGGUCACACUGGUUCCAUAUUUUAAUAGCGGACUCUGCGACACACGUGGCUUAAGGACUAAUAAAUAAUAAAUAAUAAUAAUUAUUAAAAUAGAAAUAAAAUAAUAAUAUUUAACUCAGUCAAUAGUAAAAAUGUUGUCGGCCUGGUUACUCCUCAUAUAAUAGUUUUUAUCCACUCCAUUCCAUUUUUUUUUUUUUUUUUUCAUCGCCAUUUAAAAUAAUAAUUAUUAUUAUCUCCAUAGAUUUUUCUUUAGUCAAUUCUCAUAUAAUAAAUAUAUAUAUUUAUGUAUUUAACAGAAAUGAGUCUCAGUAACAAUAAUAAUUUUGCUAACAAACACAAUUCUCGGUUUGUGGAGACUUUUAAAAGCGAGCUUGCGAUUAAAAGUCCCGACCGAGAAUCCGACAGACUGCCAGAUAACACUUUCAAGCAAAUUCAUAACAAUGCAUUUAAUUAUAUUAAAAUAUUAUUAUAAAUUAUAGAUAAAUAUUUAUAUACAGUAUACAUAUAAUAUAAAAAAGAAUUCUAUAGAUCUAUAUAUUUAUAUACAGACAACAAAAUAAUAAAAAAUAAUAAUUUAUAAAUAGUUUACUAAGGAGUAAAGAUAAAUGCCGCUUGACUCUUGUUUUAUUUAAAUAAUUAAAAAGGUAUACGAAUAUUUAGAGAUUGAAGUAACGGGUGCCAGGCCGACAACCAGGUGAUAAACAAUUAAUUACCGCCCCGAGCCGAGAUCCGCUUCCGCGACUCCUUCCAUCAAAUGUCGUUUUGUUGAUCCUUCUCUUUCCCUUUAAUUAACAAUCCGAACAACAACAACAACAACAACAACAACAGCAACAACAAUUACCCUGAAAGAUAAAUCAACAGCAUCACAUUAUUUAAAAGACACAAGACUGAUAUAGUUAGCCAACAGAAUAAACAACCCAGCACACAAUUGUCGCAAUAAUCUUUUAAUAAAAGUACCCUUUAUUAUUUGUUGUACCAGUUGGGAUUGUUCUGAAGCGAGAGAAGGAUUAUUAACUCAACGAUAAUUGAUGUUUGUCAUAUAGAGCCGUCUCAAGGCAAACUAAUCAAACAAAAGCCUCAUUGCUGACACGCGACAAGUAUUAUCUUUAAAUUUAAACAAACAAUUUAUCGUGUACAGUAUAAUAACUAUAUAUGUAAAUGUUAAUAAUAAUGGUUAUAUAAAUAAAUAAAUGUGUAGUUGAUAAGUUUGUGUUGCGGGAGUCGGGUCUCGAGCACUUAGCGGGUGAUCAAUCUCCCGAGGGAUGACGAGGAACUUUGAAGAAGAAAAUUGCAAGCUUAAGAAGAACAAUGUUUAAUUUAUAGGAUUAAAAGAAUAAGAAAAAUUUUGUGUCGAGGAUGGUCAUAUG